Molecule: ribosomal RNA, 562 nt
Filed under: Lixus myagri
Lineage: Eukaryota; Metazoa; Arthropoda; Insecta; Coleoptera; Curculionidae
Description: partial 28S ribosomal RNA
Rfam family: Eukaryotic large subunit ribosomal RNA
Source: RNAcentral
AGCCCUAAGUGGGUGGUAAACUCCAUCUAAGGCUAAAUAUGACCACGAGACCGAUAGCGAACAAGUACCGUGAGGGAAAGUUGAAAAGCACUUUGAAGAGAGAGUUCAAGAGUACGUGAAACCGUUUAGGGGUAAACCUGAGAAACCCGAAAGGUCGAAGGAAGAAAUUCAUUCGCGUUUCGUCGCAGGCGGCGAGCGGGAUUGCGUGACGGGAAGCGUUCGCGCAUUUCCGCACCUCCCGUUCCUCGAACCGGCGACGAACGCGUGCACUUUUCUUCUGGUAGGACGUCGCGAUCCGUUGGGUGUCGGUCUACGGCUCGUGGUGGAGCCCGUUCGUCGUAUUUUUCGUACGUACGGACGGACCCGCGUGUCCCGGCUGACUCGCCCGACGGUAUACGAAAGGUUUGAGGCCGCUCUCGGAGCGUUCGGCUCGUGGCAAGCGCGCCAGAUGUGUCGGCGAUCGGACCUAGUGCCGAUUCUGACCUCUGGUGACUGUUGGCCGCGAAGUUCUCGAACAGACCUCACAACCGAUCAGCGACGCUAUAGCUUUGGGUACUUUCAG